Oryza sativa Japonica Group (Japanese rice) is the source of this 196-nucleotide microRNA precursor. It matches the Rfam family "MIR812 microRNA precursor family". The record is from Rfam. NCBI's taxonomy places the organism in Eukaryota, Viridiplantae, Streptophyta, Magnoliopsida, Poales, Poaceae.
AAUAGAUGACACCGUUGACUUUUUCUCACAUGACCAUUCGUCUUAUUCAAAAAACGUAAUUAUAAUUUAUUUUGUUAUGAGUUGUUUUAUCACUCAUAGUACUUUAAGUGUGAUUUAUAUCUUAUACAUAUACAUAAAAUUUUUAAAUAAGACGAAUGGUCAAACAUGUGAGAAAAAAUUAACGGCGUCAUCUAUU